GGGAGCGUAGCUCAGUUGGUUAGAGCAGCUGACUCUUAAUCAGCGGGUCGUGGGUUCGAGUCCCUCCGCUCCUACCA
RNAcentral lists this transfer RNA (77 nucleotides) under Betaproteobacteria bacterium ADurb.Bin341. Its description in RNAcentral is "tRNA-Lys". It matches the Rfam family "tRNA". Rfam says of the family: Transfer RNA (tRNA) molecules are approximately 80 nucleotides in length. Their secondary structure includes four short double-helical elements and three loops (D, anti-codon, and T loops). Further hydrogen bonds mediate the characteristic L-shaped molecular structure. tRNAs have two regions of fundamental functional importance: the anti-codon, which is responsible for specific mRNA codon recognition, and the 3' end, to which the tRNAs corresponding amino acid is attached (by aminoacyl-tRNA synthetases). tRNAs cope with the degeneracy of the genetic code in two manners: having more than one tRNA (with a specific anti-codon) for a particular amino acid; and 'wobble' base-pairing, i.e. permitting non-standard base-pairing at the 3rd anti-codon position. RNAcentral also lists the same sequence under 2 other names. The record is from RNAcentral. Lineage: Bacteria; Pseudomonadati; Pseudomonadota; Betaproteobacteria.